This 338-nucleotide unclassified non-coding RNA is filed under the name plant metagenome. RNAcentral's name for it is "partial contains 5.8S ribosomal RNA, internal transcribed spacer 2, and large subunit ribosomal RNA". The stretch from base 1 to 105 matches the Rfam family "5.8S ribosomal RNA", at positions 50 to 154 of the family's 154-position model. The record is from RNAcentral.
GAAAUGCGAUAAGUAAUGUGAAUUGCAGAAUUCAGUGAAUCAUCGAAUCUUUGAACGCACAUUGCGCCCGCCAGUAUUCUGGCGGGCAUGCCUGUUCGAGCGUCAUUUCAACCCUCAGGCCCCCAGUGCCUGGCGUUGGAGAUCGGCCGUACGGCGCAGCCACCCUCCGGGGGGGUUGCCGCCGGGCCGGCUCCGAAAUCUAGUGGCGGUCUCGCUGUAGUCCUCCUCUGCGUAGUAGCACAACCUCGCAGUUGGAACGCGGUGAUGGCCAUGCCGUUAAACACCCCACUUCUGAAAGUUGACCUCGGAUCAGGUAGGAAUACCCGCUGAACUUAAGC